GUGGAUAGGGGAGAAAUUCCAAUCGAACCCGGAGAUAGCUGGUUCUCCUCGAAAUAGCUUUAGGGCUAGCCUUGGUAGAGAUUUGCGGAGGUAGAGCACUGAAUUUCCUAGGGGGCGUCAAAGCCUACCGAAGAAUAUCAAACUCCGAAUGCCAUGUAGAUAAGACCGGGAGUCAGACUGCACGAGAUAAGUUGGGCAGUCAAAAGGGAAAGAGCCCAGACCUUCAGUUAAGGUCCCAAAGUCUACGUUAAGUGGAAAAGGAUGUGGGAUUUCGAAGACAACCAGGAUGUUGGCUCAGAAGCAGCCAUUCAUUCAAAGAGUGCGUAAUAGCUCACUGGUCGAGAGGUCCUGCGCCGAAAAUGUCCGGGGCUGAAACGUACCACCGAAACUAAGGAAUCCGAAAGGAUUGGUAGAGGAGCAUUGCAUGCGGGAAGAAGCAGUACCGUAAGGAGCUGUGGACUGCAUGGAAGAGAGAAUGCCGGAAUGAGUAGCGAGAUAGAGGUGAGAAUCCUCUAGGCCGAAUAUCCAAGGUUUCCAGGGUAAAGCUGAUCUGCCCUGGGUAAGUCGGGGCCUAAGGUGAGGACGAGAGUCGUAGCCGAUGGACAACAGGUGGAGAUUCCUGUACUAUGAUAUGACAGAACUGUGGGGACACGUGCAGAGAGCGGAAGCCGGGAAUGGGAUCCCGGUGCAAGCGAGGUACCAGAUGCGUUGGAAAAACCGCGCAUCAAUGGGAAGACGUGAUGCGGAAUGAAGUUUAGUAAUGAAGUCCGUGAGCUGUGCGUCAAGAAAAGCCGCUAUUGUUCAUACCAUACCCGUACCGUAAACCGACACAGGUGGAUGAGGAGAGAAUCCUAAGGCCGGCGGAAGAAGCAUUGUCAAGGAACUCGGCAAAAUGACCCCGUAACUUCGGGAGAAGGGGUGCCACUGAGAAGUGGCCGCAGAGAAUAGGCUCAAGCAACUGUUUAGCAAAAACACAGGUCUAUGCGAAACCGUAAGGUGAGGUAUAUGGGCUGACGCCUGCCCGGUGCUGGAAGGUUAAGAGGAGAGGUUAGCGCAAGCGAAGCUUUGAAUUUAAGCCCCAGUAAACGGCGGCCGUAACUAUAACGGUCCUAAGGUAGCGAAAUUCCUUGUCGGGUAAGUUCCGACCCGCACGAAAGGCGUAAUGAUUUGAGCGCUGUCUCGACAAUGCAUCCGGUGAAAUUGAAGUACCAGUGAAGAUGCUGGUUACCUGCGCCAGGACGGAAAGACCCCAUGGAGCUUUACUCCAGUUUGGUACUGGGACUCGGUAUUGCAUGUACAGGAUAGGUGGGAGGCUAGGAGAUGGUAACGCCAGUUGCCAUGGAGCCGCUGUUGGGAUACCACCCUUGCAGUAUUGGGUUUCUAACCAGCCGCCGUGACCCGGCGGUGGGACAAUGCCAGACGGGGAGUUUGACUGGGGCGGUCGCCUCCGAAAGGGUAUCGGAGGCGCCCAAAGGUUCCCUCAGAAUGGACGGAAACCAUUCGAAGAGUGCAAAGGCAGAAGGGAGCUUGACUGCGACACCGACGGGUGGAGCAGGUACGAAAGUAGGGCUUAGUGAUCCGGUGGUAUUAAGUGGGAAUGCCAUCGCUCAACGGAUAAAAGCUACCCUGGGGAUAACAGGCUUAUCACUCCCAAGAGUUCACAUCGACGGAGUGGUUUGGCACCUCGAUGUCGGCUC
This 1697-nucleotide ribosomal RNA is filed under the name human gut metagenome. RNAcentral's name for it is "bacterial LSU rRNA". It matches the Rfam family "Bacterial large subunit ribosomal RNA", at positions 811 to 2538 of the family's 2925-position model. The record is from RNAcentral.